Molecule: ribosomal RNA, 378 nt
Filed under: uncultured organism
Description: partial 16S ribosomal RNA
Rfam family: Archaeal small subunit ribosomal RNA
Source: RNAcentral
CAGCACCUCAAGUGGUCAGGAGGAUUAUUGGGCCUAAAGCAUCCGUAGCCGGCUGCACAAGUCUUCGGUUAAAUUCAUAUGCUCAACAUAUGGGCUGCCGGAGAUACUGUGCAGCUAGGGAGCGGGAGAGGUGGACGGUACUCGAUAGGAAGGGGUAAAAUCCUUUGAUCUAUUGAUGACCACCUGUGGCGAAGGCGGUCCACUAGAACACGUCCGACGGUGAGGGAUGAAAGCUGGGGGGGGAGCAAACCGGAUUAGAUACCCGGGUAGUCCCAGCUGUAAACUAUGCAAACUCAGUGAUGCAUUGGCUUGUGGCCAGUGCAGUGCCGCAGGGAAGCCCGUUAAGUUUGCCGCCUGGGAAGUACGUACGCAAGUAUG